AAAUCUAAAUCCCAGCUAAAGUCAGCCAAACAAAGGAAACUUAUCGCUGAAAUAUUCUGCCUUUAUAGCAACGACCCUAGCUCUAAUUUUUCACAUAGCUAAUAGUGACAGUGUUGGAUCAGACCCACAAGAUCAAAGCAUCUGGGAGGACGGCGAUGUGGGAGUUGCAGACAGAUGAAUAAAAGCAGCCAGCUUACUGCCUUUAUGAGUUACUACUGCCUAGCAGCUGAGCUCUGGAACACAGUGUCAACCAGGAAAUACCAUCUAGAAAGAAAUAAAUGUUGAUCUUCUACAUGCUACAUAAAAGGGAAAUCUUGCUGACAUCACUGCCAGAAAGAAUGGAGGAAAAAUAGCAAGAGAAAAGGAUCCAUUCCCUGCAAGAGAUGCUGAAUCCAGCAGUCUGGUAGAGGUGACGUGGCUGAAGAUCCAUGUCCACAGGUCCAGCUAGUGACAAGGCAGAACAUGUCAUCCCCACAGGCAUGCAAACACAUGUACAACAUGCAUACCCAUAUGACCAGACAAGCACACUCUGUAUGCAUCUAUUAACUGAUGUCAACUGACAUUCAGCCAACUCAGUAACUUGCCCUGGGACAUUCUCAUCCCCAGAUCCACCUGCAUUGAUACAUACAUAUAGAUGGGUCUCAGCCAAAUCACAGACCCCAUCGCCAACCCCUGCAGAUAGCUUGGACCUCCUGUAAUCGACCAGCACACACAGUGGUCUCUCCAGUGCCCAGCCCAGACUUGUGGCCACUUCCACAUCUGUCUCCAGGCCAUCUAACUACUAACUGGCUAGUCCAGCUGAAUAAUAAUGAUCACACACAGACAUACAUAUCUACACACUAUGCACUAUGCACAUGGUCCAAAAUUUCUGAGUGGAAAUAUGUGAAAAACUUGAAGGAACAAACAUCAAUCAGAAGAACGGCUCUGAAAGUGUCAUACACUGAUUUCACUCAGAAUAACAGCCCAUUGGAACCCCAGCAUUUUCAUUUGUAACUGUUCAGGACAGUCAGUGUGGAAGAGGAAGGACAUUAAGCAAAGUCAUAAAUGACCCACCUUGAGAACUGUGGGUAGUUUUGGGCAUCACCAUACAAAGGACUAUUUGAGAGUGUCCAAAGGAGGACUACAAAGAUGGUGAAGGUUCCAGAGGGCAAGGUGUAUGAAGAGUGGCCAAAUCCCUUUGUUUGUUCAGCUCAGAUGAGACUAAGGAGAACUGAGGUGGCCUACAGCUCCUUGCAGGGAGUGGAGGGACAGCGCUGAACUCUGCUCUCUGGUGACAACAACAGGAUCCAAGGAAACAACAUGGAGCUGCAUCAGGGAAGGGAGGAGAAGGGGAUCAGAUGAGGGGUUACAAAUAGAUUCUUCACCAGAGGUUGGUUGGGCCCUGGAACAGGCUCCCCAGGGCAGUGGUCACAGCCCCACGUUGUUGGAGUUCAAGAAGUGUAUGAACAAUUCUCUCAGACAUACACCCUGAUUUUUGGAUGGUCCUGUGUGCAUCCAGGAGUUGAACUCAGUGAUCCAUAUGGGUCCUUUCCAACUUGGGAUGCUCUGUGAUUCUGUGAAGUCUCAAAUUCUCACUACUCAUGCAGAUACAGAAGAAUGAAAAGGCUGCCAGCUUCCAAAGGGUACAAAAAGAAUAUUCAAAACUAGCACACGAUAACUCCAGUAAACAUGAGAGUACAGAGCCCUUCUCUCUCUAUGUCUUAGUGAGAAAUUAGACCAUCUGAGUACAAAUGUCUGGACUCAUGGACACAUAGGGGGACUACAUGGACACAGAGAUUUUGGUGGUCUGGGGUAUGUGGGUAAAAACUGUGAGUAAGAAUGAUUUACAUAGGUUUUGCUUAAAAAUAAAACCUCACCCUGAAUACCUCAGGUUGAGUUCUGC
This is a long non-coding RNA of Gallus gallus (chicken), 1882 nucleotides long. NCBI's taxonomy places the organism in Eukaryota, Metazoa, Chordata, Aves, Galliformes, Phasianidae. The record is from Ensembl.